RNAcentral lists this ribosomal RNA (254 nucleotides) under uncultured bacterium. RNAcentral's name for it is "partial 16S ribosomal RNA". It matches the Rfam family "Bacterial small subunit ribosomal RNA", at positions 524 to 777 of the family's 1533-position model. The record is from RNAcentral.
UACAGGGGGGGCAAGCGUUGUUCGGAAUUACUGGGCGUAAAGGCUCGUAGGCGGCCAACUAAGUCCGACGUGAAAUCCCCAGGCUUAACCUGGGAACUGCGUCGGAUACUGGAUGGCUUGAAUUCGGGAGAGGGAUGCAGAAUUCCAGGUGUAGCGGUGAAAUGCGUAGAUAUCUGGAGGAAUACCGGUGGCGAAGGCGGCAUCCUGGACCGACAUUGACGCUGAUGAGCGAAAAGCUAGGGGAGCAAACGGGG